CUAGAAACUAUGUGGUGGAGGGGAAGAAGGCAGCCAAGAGGUAGUUGGCCAGUUUUCGAGGCCAUGGUGGUCAAAAUUGCUGAGAGGCAACACUCGAAAGCUACAUCAAGGACACCGGAGGAUGGACCAGAAGACCUGAGACCAAGACGACCCAAGCCCAACCCAUAGCAUGCUUCACUGACAAAUGUUGAUGCUUCAUCAUUACAUAGACCAAAGGUUUCAGAGAAGGCUGGUAGAGCUCUCUAUGAGUGUGAGCUGUGGGAGAUAACCAAGAACUGACAACCACCUACAGAAGAGGUGGCGAUAAUGGCUCUCCAAGAGGAGGUUGUGAGUCUGAAGGCUUUUAUUCAACAAGGAGGCACUUAGAGGGAAUGCCUGGACCCUGAGAGGACUAAGACGAUAAUUGAGGCCACCCUGAAGCAGUUCCCAGGCCAGACACUCACUCCAGAUUGCUGGGCCAGGCAAUAAAUGCCAAAGUGACAGAACUGAGGUUCCAUAACAAAAACAGAUUUUCAAUAAAAUAGAAUAAAA
Alosa alosa (allis shad) is the source of this 531-nucleotide long non-coding RNA. RefSeq lists it as uncharacterized. Lineage: Eukaryota; Metazoa; Chordata; Actinopteri; Clupeiformes; Clupeidae. The transcript is spliced from 5 exons. The record is from RefSeq and is a predicted model, not a curated record.